Molecule: ribosomal RNA, 465 nt
Filed under: uncultured bacterium
Lineage: Bacteria
Description: partial 16S ribosomal RNA
Rfam family: Bacterial small subunit ribosomal RNA
Source: RNAcentral
CCUACGGGAGGCAGCAGUAGGGAAUUUUCGUCAAUGGGCGCAAGCCUGAACGAGCAAUGCCGCGUGAACGAGGAAGGUCUUCGGAUCGUAAAGUUCUGUUGAAGGGGAAAAAGAGCGGAGAGAGGAAAUGGUCUCCGAUUGAUAUUACCCUUCGAGGAAGUCACGGCUAACUACGUGCCAGCAGCCGCGGUAAUACGUAGGUGGCGAGCGUUAUCCGGAAUGAUUGGGCGUAAAGGGUGCGUAGGCGGCCUGCUAAGUCUGGAGUGAAAGGUACCGGCUCAACCGGUACAGGCUCUGGAAACUGGGGGGCUAGAGAGGAGGAGAGGGCGGUGGAACUCGAUGUGUAGCGGUAAAAUGCGUAGAUAUGUGGAAGAACACCAGUGGCGAAGGCGGCCGCCUGGCCUGUUGACUGACGCUGAGGCACGAAGGCGUGGGGAGCAAAUAGGAUUAGAUACCCGGGUAGUC